Molecule: ribosomal RNA, 450 nt
Filed under: Triticum aestivum (bread wheat)
Lineage: Eukaryota; Viridiplantae; Streptophyta; Magnoliopsida; Poales; Poaceae
Description: partial small subunit ribosomal RNA
Source: RNAcentral
AUGCGCAGGCCAUCAGUUCAUAAGGCCUCCACGACGAGCAGCACCUCUGAAUCCAAGAACUGCGAGGAAUUUAUCAAAGAAAAAAAAAACUACGAGGAAGAAAUUGUGGGGGAAGGGGCAGAGGAUGAGAGGAGGCAGCAGGGCCGCUCGACGGCGCACGCCCAGCCCCGCAGCCGUCGGAUCGCCGGUGAACUCGUCCGCUGCCGCCCUCGCCGUGGUGGCAGGCUAGCUGCAGCUCAACUGCCUCAAGAGCCGAGUCUACGCUUCCGUUUCCCUUUCGACAGGAGCGCGCGCUCCCGGAAGCACCAACGGAUUUCCGGUGAUUUACACAGAAUACAUAACACUAUGAUGCCACCCUAUGACGCUCAUGGUUCCGUGAUUAACUGUUUGAAACUAAUACUCCCUCCGUCCCAAAAUAAAUGUCUUGAGUUUAAUACAAAUUUAUACUAG